CGCUGAACUUAAGCAUAUCAAUAA
Molecule: ribosomal RNA, 24 nt
Filed under: Trichoderma harzianum
Lineage: Eukaryota; Fungi; Ascomycota; Sordariomycetes; Hypocreales; Hypocreaceae
Also listed under: 1 other name
Description: partial 28S ribosomal RNA
Source: RNAcentral